Molecule: ribosomal RNA, 440 nt
Filed under: uncultured bacterium
Lineage: Bacteria
Description: partial 16S ribosomal RNA
Rfam family: Bacterial small subunit ribosomal RNA
Source: RNAcentral
CUACGGGAGGCUGCAGUAGGGAAUAUUGGACAAUGGGCGAAAGCCUGAUCCAGCAACACCGCGUGCACGAUGACGGCCUUCGGGUUGUAAAGUGCUUUUAGAGGAGAUGAGAAAGGACAGUAUCCUCUGAAUAAGCCUCGGCGAACUACGUGCCAGCAGCCGCGGUAAAACGUAGGAGGCAAGCGUUAUCCGGAUUUAUUGGGCGUAAAGCGCGUGCAGGCGGUCUAGCAAGUUGGAUGUGAAAGCUCCCGGCUCAACUGGGAGAGGUCGUUCAAUACUGUUAGACUAGAGAAUAGGAGAGGGAGGUGGAAUUCCGGGUGUAGUGGUGAAAUGCGUAGAUAUCCGGAGGAACACCAGUGGCGAAAGCGGCCUCCUGGACUAUUUCUGACGCUAAGACGCGAAAGCUAGGGUAGCAAACGGGAUUAGAUACCCCGGUACUC